ACGAGGCCGAGUGGGGGUUUGUAGAUCUGUGCACGAGAAGCUGCGCCGCUCAGCGCAUCCUGCCGGGGCUGCAACUGAGACCGAGGAGGAAAACCUGGGAUGGAGUCGAAGGACAGGCUGAAUCAUGAAAAGGUAAAACAGAAGACCUCUGGUGGCAAUCUCUGUAAUAGCUCUAUUCGUGUUAAUGCGUAUGUAUGUACGGAGGUAUGGAAGUAAAACCUUGCCAUCUGAUUUUCAGUUUGAAUUUCUAAAGCUUUUUUUUUUUUUUUCCAUCAAAAUUAGACUUUGAAUUUUAAAACCAUCGAAUUUCAAGCAUGCCUUUUUUAUUUCUGAUACUAUUUUUUUUCACAAUGAUGGAAUAAAUUCAAUGUAAAAAAAAGGUCUCUCAAAAAUAUUCGUCUGGUAAAAAUUCUACUUAAAAAAACAGUGUAAAUAAAAUUCAACAUAAAAAAAAAAUUCAGUGCAAAAUAAAUUGAGUGCAAAAGAGACAGACUCAACAUCCAGGUAACCAGGGAGAAGCAAUCGAUUCCUGGUUAAAUCAUCCAUCGUCCAGCCAAUCAAUUAAUGCUAGAUUGGUCAUGUGGCACAAACCCCAGUGGAAGAUUGAAUCCAAUCGAUUGCUUCUCCCUGGAUACCCAGAUGUUGAGUCGGUCUCUUUCACAGUGAAUUUUUUGACACUGAAAUAUUUGACACUGAAAUUUUUUAUUAUGUUGAAUUUUUUUACAGUUUUUUUAAGUCGAAUGUUCACUAAACUAAUAAUAAGAGGCCGAUUUUUUUACACCAAAUUUAUUCCAUCAUUGUGAAAAAAAAUUAGUGUUAGAAAAUGCGUGCUUGAAAUUCGAUGGUUUUGAAAUUCAAAGUCUAAUUUUGAUUCCAAAAAAUUUCAGCUAUAGAAGUUUAAAUUCAAAAUCAGAUGGCACAGAUUUACUUCCGUACCAAAGUCCUGUUUGGACAUGCAUCCAUAUGCUUUUUACUCACUGCUGUAAUUGGUUUGUCUUUUGAUGUUUCUUCUUCAUAUAUUAUUGUGUAGUAUAAACGCUUUAUUUUGCAUUAAUUUUAUGGGAAAUGCUUAACUGUUCAUAUCGUAUUUCUCUUUAUGUAGAUAGAUAGAUAGAUAGAUAGAUAGAUAGAUAGAUAGAUAGAUAGAUAGAUAGCAAGACCUUUUUUCCCGGGAUAACAAAAUCCCAGUUGUAACAAGAAAACAAGUUUUGUCAGUUGUAUUUUGAAUUUUUGUAUUUUGUGUUUGUAUUCUCACAGGAUAAGCAAAGAUGGCUUUGUCCACAGGGGGGUGCUGAAUUGAACACAAACCAAAACUUUUUCAUAGGAG
Xyrichtys novacula (pearly razorfish) is the source of this 1327-nucleotide non-coding RNA. NCBI's taxonomy places the organism in Eukaryota, Metazoa, Chordata, Actinopteri, Labriformes, Labridae. The record is from the annotation of a GenBank genome assembly.